This is a long non-coding RNA of Salmo salar (Atlantic salmon), 1297 nucleotides long. RefSeq lists it as uncharacterized. The record is from RefSeq and is a predicted model, not a curated record. NCBI's taxonomy places the organism in Eukaryota, Metazoa, Chordata, Actinopteri, Salmoniformes, Salmonidae.
CGAAUGCCCUGUAUAUGUAUUGUCUAUUUUUAGUUGAACCCUGGGUUGAAUUGAAACAAUAGCUAUUGAUGACUUCGCAAAUGCUACAGUAUUGUAUGACCCUGGGUUGAUAAGCGCGGAUACCGACUCUGCCGCACGAGCAUGCUUUUGCGGCACAGUCGAUAGCGCGCUGGACUUCGGACUAGAAGGUCGGAGGUUUGAGACUCAUUUUUACCGGAAAUAUGGGCGGGUUCUGUUUAGGUUUUAUUGUGGGGAACUUCCGGUUAAGCAUUUCCGGUCAAUAGUUCGCAGCUAGCCUAGAUAACCAACAUACUUCUCACAACUUCCCAAUCAUGGAUUCACGCAAAACAGACAUUUUAUGUUCGAUGCAGACAACUGUGGUGAUGCAGAGUCAUGCCAGUGCCACCACAGCGUACAGAUGCUGAUACUCAAUGGGAGUUUCCAGCAUUGACUGAUCACCGCUACGUGUCAAGAGAACCAGUCAACAAGCCCACCUGCCACAAACAAACCCAAUGUGGUGGUGCAGAGCCAUUGACCCACACCAUCCAGAAUAAUGACACUAGCUCAGUGUUGUAUACUGCCCUAACUCUCAGUGUUUUCUUUGACCGUGUAGCAUUUCUGCAGAAAUUCUACACAGCUAACUUCAGGGUGAUCGUGCUGAACGCUUUGCUGUGUCCCAGGGAAUAGUGAGCAGAAUCCUUUCCUACUGGAUUGACACAAUGGAGGAGCACAAGGAUCUACAUUCCAUGGCUGCCGAGGGAGACGAUCCAGAACACAAUGCCUUAGUGCUUCAAAGAGAAGUUCCCCAACACCACUUGCAUCAUCGACUGCCCUGAAACCACUCUUCAGAAAGCACAUCAUCUCGAUUUCAGAGGGGAGGGUCAUACAGCCACUAUUUUCCAGCAAUACUCUGAAGUAUUUUCUCAAUGUGGACUCGUUAUGUUUAUUUCUCUUGCACAUGGAGGCAGAUGCAGUAACAAGUUAAUCACCCAAAACUCUGGCUUCCUGGAAUACCUUAGGCCUGGCGAUAAAGUUAUGGCAGACAGGGGCUUCACCAUCCGAGAUUUGCUGUAUGAGAGGAAGGUAAAUCUUGCCAUACCAGCCAUCACUCAGAAAGGAGGCCAGCUGUCUAACGAGGAUGUCACAAGCAUGAGAAGGUUAGCUAAUGUGCAUAUACAUGUUGAGAGAGUUAUCAGACGACUCAGGGGCAGUGGCGACCCAUCAUUAAGGGAAGGUGAGCCCCACGUUUAUUGCAAAAACAUAAAUAAAAAUUGGUGCUUGCCUGUUUUGCAUGUUA